Molecule: long non-coding RNA, 381 nt
Organism: Oncorhynchus masou masou (cherry salmon)
Lineage: Eukaryota; Metazoa; Chordata; Actinopteri; Salmoniformes; Salmonidae
Exons: 3
Source: RefSeq, a predicted model, not a curated record
AACCGCUCUCCGAUGGAGCAGCGAAAUGGAGGGUUGGAAAAGCCAGGCAAAAGGUUUCGGAUAAAGAUCUCUGUCUGUUCAUAUCAAGUUGGAAAUGCUAGACUAAAGAAAAGCACAGUUAAGUCCUCUUUGGUCACUGCAUACCGCUUGCGUGCGCGGCACUUUGUCCAAAUCUGCAUCCCAUGCGAAGAACCUCUCCAACUGCAGAAAUCUUGAUGCCCAGGCAACAGCAGCUGCAGUCCUAAAUAAUUUGAACAGCUUUGUUUGCCAAACUGUCCACAUGCACACAGCACCACUCACUUUCCCUUUUCUGGCAAAAGACCAUAUCUGAGUAAACAUUAGUUACAUUUAUCUAUUGUGAAACAUAAAUAAACAAUUCCA